Molecule: non-coding RNA, 28 nt
Filed under: Bombyx mori (domestic silkworm)
Lineage: Eukaryota; Metazoa; Arthropoda; Insecta; Lepidoptera; Bombycidae
Source: RNAcentral
GGAUGACCAUAUAGACUCUGCUCUGAAA